UAUUGAGCCAAAUUAAUUCACAAAAAGAUAAAUCAGAAGUUUUCAGAGUGAUCUAUGGAUGAUUUCACCUUGUACACCCGGGAAAAUUGUGAAAAUGAUAGUAAGUAUUUUUUUAUUUAUACCUAGAUAUCCCAGAUGAUUUCAGAUAACCAUUAUAGAUAAAUACCAGCAGAUACUCAAUGAAAUUUUCGCUUUUAGAAAGCAUUACAGGCACGGGGCUGAACACUUUUUUUAGGCACAAUUCUAACUUUGUUUACACCCCCGAGAGAUCCGAAAGGAAUUUGUUUAUGAAUUGAAAAAGGCAUGAACUAACAUAAUAGUUUUAUCUUUCCAGACAUAUCAUUACUUUUUAACCUGAGAUGACAAACUAGAGGUUUUAAAAGGUCCUGAAUAACUGAAAUGGACAAAAAUACACAGAUUUAUUCAAAAUGUCAUACCGAUGAAGAUCACAUUAAAAUAUUUGGAAAAAUCAAAACUAUGGAUUGCAAUAUGGGACAACAUCCCUAAUGCGCCUUGAAAUGAGGAACUCAAAAGUCAAGUGUAAAGAAAAAAUCUCUAUGUAGUGAUAUUGGACAUGUUUAUAUUUUUAACAAAUGACUGAACUUAAUUAUUUGUGGUGAUUAGGGAAGUAGAGGAACAUAGAAUAAAUGUGUAAAAACUAUGGAGCUAUUGAAUGUGUUCAAAGUAUUAAAUUUUCAAAGAACUUAUUGUGUUAAAAAGGGGAUAUUUUACCACAAGGAGCCGCAUCACAAAAGGAUGUUCGGGGUUUGCUAAUUUACUGAAAAAGUAAUCUCACUUCGUACCCUGAAAAUUUAACCACAUAUGUGAAAAUGUCACAGCUUCGAAACGAGCUAUCAUACAUAUCCAAGUUUACGAUAUGGACUGAGCUACAGGAAAAAACGUUACCAUUACCUCCUAUGGAA
Mytilus trossulus (common blue mussel) is the source of this 923-nucleotide long non-coding RNA. RefSeq lists it as uncharacterized. The transcript has 3 exons. The record is from RefSeq and is a predicted model, not a curated record. Lineage: Eukaryota; Metazoa; Mollusca; Bivalvia; Mytilida; Mytilidae.